AUAAACAGUGGUUUAUUAAUCAUACACAUUCUCACACACAGAUUGGGCCAUUACAUAGACAGAAGUGCUUUCAGGUCAUUUACACACUGACUGCUUCAAAAUGAGUGGAAAGGAGACUGCUUAAAAGGGGCCAUAUAUAAAUAUAUAAAUAAACACAAACAUAAAUUACCAGAAGACAUCUGCAUUUAAUGUUUUAGGUUAAGCUUUCAACGUUUUUGUUAAAACAGUGCCUGAAAUAUUCCUCACAAAAACGUUCUCGCCGGUCCGUCUAUCAGUUUGCAGUGACUUGUGGUCUCCUCAUAGUCCCUGGAGAUCACAGCAGUACAAUCUGCCUGGACUAGCGAAUUCUCUUACGGUCUAAUUCGGCAGGGAAUAUGAGGAGGCGAAUACUCUUACGGUCUAAUUCUGCAGGGAAUAUGAAGGGCCGACCAGUCGUGUUAUUGUUUAAAUUCAGUCUUUUAGACACUAGAGGAAGGACUCCACACAGUCCCUUUAGUCCACUUGAAAGUGACCCGUGCUCAUGUGGAUUGGAACCCAUGUCAUCAGUACAGCUGGGUGCAUCCAUGUCUUCAGGCACUUUGUUCAUUGUUAUGUUAUGCUACUUCUAAAUGAACGGGCUUUGAAGGGCUGUCCAAUGUCAACAAUAAAAGAAAUGUUUAGUUCACACUGGCUAUGGUGUCUGCUCCAUCAUCACAAAUGAAAUGAAAUUGGGGAACGAACAAUGGAACUGAUAAAGAAUGCUCAGAUUCAUACUUUGUCUUCCAAACCUCCCAGAUGUCAAAGACGUGGGACUUAUCUCAAUUUCAUAGUCCUCGCAUUACAUCCGCUCUCCUCCCUUCUGAAUUUCUCAUCCAGUGGGUUUUGAGGCAGUAGACGAGAGAAGUUUAUGAAAUUGCAUGAAGGUUAACUUCUUUGAGCCACACAAAAACAAGGAAAUGGUCGGUGGUUGUAUUUUACAAAGUAUGGAUUUGAGCAGGCAAACUAACAAACUAACAAGUAAGCAAAUGUUAUGUAGUACAACUGACAUUAAAGUAGCCUACUUUUGGGGCAUCACAGUGGACAUCUGCAUGGUUUCUUCAUGGUUGCUGGCAGAUAUUUGGCUAGCAAAUAUUUAGCAUUGAAAGGAAGAGCAGGAUGAGAACCUCAUUUAGGUGAACGGAGCCACAUGAGCUCACAAAAAAAAGAGCCAACACUACUAGUUAUCAGACAUCAUCUUAUCUGAUGUAACACAAUGAGACAUAUUGUAUCGAUUUCAGUCAAAUAAAAUUAUAAACACUGCAUGUGGACAUCAAAUGGGAGAACGGAGAACAGUAAUUCAAUGUACUGACUGCAGGGGAAAAACAGCGUUAGAUGAACAACAACAACCUGAAUAACCGGGCAAACCCUUUGAGGUCAACAUGGAACAUGCCAAGCAAGAACAACUAUUCCCAAACACCAAGAACGGAUCCCGGUGAUGCAAUGUUGACCUCUUCAGUCCAGAGUGAAAUCUG
Esox lucius (northern pike) is the source of this 1490-nucleotide long non-coding RNA. NCBI's taxonomy places the organism in Eukaryota, Metazoa, Chordata, Actinopteri, Esociformes, Esocidae. The record is from Ensembl.